Molecule: long non-coding RNA, 359 nt
Organism: Hypanus sabinus (Atlantic stingray)
Lineage: Eukaryota; Metazoa; Chordata; Chondrichthyes; Myliobatiformes; Dasyatidae
Exons: 3
Source: RefSeq, a predicted model, not a curated record
ACCUGACGUCUUUUCUGGAUUGGGAUCAAGAAGUUACUAAAUUCCGACUUUACCAAAUCGGGAAUAUGAGGUGAUUUGUCACAGGAAGCAACUGUGAACGAUGGCACUAUUUUGUUAAACAUGGAUUUGCAUGGCGGAGCGCAGGUAUCACCAACAUUGACAUCAGACAGUACUGAAUCACUCGCUUGACUCAUUGGGAUGAAAAUGAACCAGAUCUAAAUCCUAAAGGGGACACAUCACGCAGUAUCCACCCAAAUGAGAUUUCUUAAGUUUGGCCGGGCCAGGGGCUAUCAUCCCCUACAUUAAGCCAAGCAGCCGAACCAAGAGUUACACAUAUUAUUUGAAGGAAAUGCAAUUUC